UGCGUAGGCGGAUUAAUAAGUCAGUGGUGAAAUCUCUCAGCUCAACCGGGAAACUGCCAUUGAUACUGUUAAUCUUGAGUUCGGUUGAGGUAGGCGGAAUGUGUAAUGUAGCGGUGAAAUGCUUAGAUAUUACACAGAACACCAAUUGCGUAGGCAGCUUACUAGACCGACACUGACGCUGAGGCACGAAAGCGUGGGUAGCGAACAGGAUUAGAUACCCUGGUAGUCC
Molecule: ribosomal RNA, 229 nt
Filed under: uncultured bacterium
Lineage: Bacteria
Description: partial 16S ribosomal RNA
Rfam family: Bacterial small subunit ribosomal RNA
Source: RNAcentral